CGGGGCAGGGUGAGUCGACCCCUAAGGCGAGGCCGAAAGGCGUAGUCGAUGGGAAACAGGUUAAUAUUCCUGUACUUGGUGUUACUGCGAAGGGGGGACGGAGAAGGCUAUGUUGGCCGGGCGACGGUUGUCCCGGUUUAAGCGUGUAGGCUGGUUUUCCAGGCAAAUCCGGAAAAUCAAGGCUGAGGCGUGAUGACGAGGCACUACGGUGCUGAAGCAACAAAUGCCCUGCUUCCAGGAAAAGCCUCUAAGCAUCAGGUAACAUCAAAUCGUACCCCAAACCGACACAGGUGGUCAGGUAGAGAAUACCAAGGCGCUUGAGAGAACUCGGGUGAAGGAACUAGGCAAAAUGGUGCCGUAACUUCGGGAGAAGGCACGCUGAUAUGUAGGUGAAGUCCCUCGCGGAUGGAGCUGAAAUCAGUCGAAGAUACCAGCUGGCUGCAACUGUUUAUUAAAAACACAGCACUGUGCAAACACGAAAGUGGACGUAUACGGUGUGACGCCUGCCCGGUGCCGGAAGGUUAAUUGAUGGGGUUAGCGCAAGCGAAGCUCUUGAUCGAAGCCCCGGUAAACGGCGGCCGUAACUAUAACGGUCCUAAGGUAGCGAAAUUCCUUGUCGGGUAAGUUCCGACCUGCACGAAUGGCGUAAUGAUGGCCAGGCUGUCUCCACCCGAGACUCAGUGAAAUUGAACUCGCUGUGAAGAUGCAGUGUACCCGCGGCAAGACGGAAAGACCCCGUGAACCUUUACUAUAGCUUGACACUGAACAUUGAGCCUUGAUGUGUAGGAUAGGUGGGAGGCUUUGAAGUGUGGACGCCAGUCUGCAUGGAGCCGACCUUGAAAUACCACCCUUUAAUGUUUGAUGUUCUAACGUUGACCCGUAAUCCGGGUUGCGGACAGUGUCUGGUGGGUAGUUUGACUGGGGCGGUCUCCUCCUAAAGAGUAACGGAGGAGCACGAAGGUUGGCUAAUCCUGGUCGGACAUCAGGAGGUUAGUGCAAUGGCAUAAGCCAGCUUAACUGCGAGACGGACAGGUCGAGCAGGUACGAAAGUAGGUCAUAGUGAUCCGGUGGUUCUGAAUGGAAGGGCCAUCGCUCAACGGAUAAAAGGUACUCCGGGGAUAACAGGCUGAUACCGCCCAAGAGUUCAUAUCGACGGCGGUGUUUGGCACCUCGAUGUCGGCUCAUCACAUCCUGGGGCUGAAGUAGGUCCCAAGGGUAUGGCUGUUCGCCAUUUAAAGUGGUACGCGAGCUGGGUUUAGAACGUCGUGAGACAGUUCGGUCCCUAUCUGCCGUGGGCGCUGGAGAACUGAGGGGGGCUGCUCCUAGUACGAGAGGACCGGAGUGGACGCAUCACUGGUGUUCGGGUUGUCAUGCCAAUGGCACUGCCCGGUAGCUAAAUGCGGAAGAGAUAAGUGCUGAAAGCAUCUAAGCACGAAACUUGCCCCGAGAUGAGUUCUCCCUGACUCCUUGAGAGUCCUGAAGGAACGUUGAAGACGACGACGUUGAUAGGCCGGGUGUGUAAGCGCAGCGAUGCGUUGAGCUAACCGGUACUAAUGAACCGUGAGGCUUAACCUU
This 1575-nucleotide ribosomal RNA is filed under the name metagenome. RNAcentral describes it as "bacterial LSU rRNA". It matches the Rfam family "Bacterial large subunit ribosomal RNA", at positions 1370 to 2925 of the family's 2925-position model. The record is from RNAcentral.